UACGAAGGGGGCUAGCGUUGCUCGGAAUUACUGGGCGUAAAGCGCACGUAGGCGGAUUGUUAAGUCGGGGGUGAAAUCCUGGAGCUCAACUCCAGAACUGCCUUCGAUACUGGCGAUCUCGAGUUCGGGAGAGGUGAGUGGAACUGCGAGUGUAGAGGUGAAAUUCGUAGAUAUUCGGAAGGACACCAGUGGCGAAGGCGGCAUACUUGCCCAUUACUGACGCUGAGGCUCGAAAGCGUGGGGAGCAAACAGG
This 253-nucleotide ribosomal RNA is filed under the name uncultured bacterium. RNAcentral's name for it is "partial 16S ribosomal RNA". It matches the Rfam family "Bacterial small subunit ribosomal RNA", at positions 524 to 776 of the family's 1533-position model. The record is from RNAcentral.